RNAcentral lists this non-coding RNA (122 nucleotides) under Ruminococcus sp. RNAcentral describes it as "FMN sequence". It matches the Rfam family "FMN riboswitch aptamer (RFN element)". From Rfam's summary of the family: The RFN element is a highly conserved domain that is found frequently in the 5'-untranslated regions of prokaryotic mRNAs that encode for flavin mononucleotide (FMN) biosynthesis and transport proteins. Lineage: Bacteria; Bacillati; Bacillota; Clostridia; Eubacteriales; Oscillospiraceae. RNAcentral also lists the same sequence under 1 other name. The record is from RNAcentral.
AGUUGUCUUCGGGGCGGAGUGAAAUUCUCCACCGGUGGUUAAAGUCCACGAACAGGUGAAAGCCUGCCGAGUCUGUGAAAUUCAGACACCGACGGUUAUAGUCCGGAUACGAGAAGAUGCGG